Pan troglodytes (chimpanzee) is the source of this 148-nucleotide non-coding RNA. It matches the Rfam family "Metazoan signal recognition particle RNA". From Rfam's summary of the family: The signal recognition particle (SRP) is a universally conserved ribonucleoprotein. Lineage: Eukaryota; Metazoa; Chordata; Mammalia; Primates; Hominidae. The record is from Rfam.
GCCGGGCGUGGUGGUGCACGCCUGUAAUCCCAGCUACUCAGGAGGCUGAGGCAGGAGAAUCGCUUGAACCCGGGAGGCGGAGGGCGCAGUGAGCCGAAAUCACGCCACUACACUCCAGCCUGGGUGAUAGAGUGAGACUCCGUCUCAG